Molecule: long non-coding RNA, 1108 nt
Filed under: Brassica napus (rape)
Lineage: Eukaryota; Viridiplantae; Streptophyta; Magnoliopsida; Brassicales; Brassicaceae
Description: long non-coding RNA (BNAP_LNC021597)
Source: RNAcentral
CCGCGUUAAUUUGCAAAGUGUAAACGCUUUACCAUUGCAGAUCAAAAAUUCAGCGCUAUUGUAAAUAGACACAACACAUAAUUCAUUUUUCCACCAGAUACUUAGUGAAAAAACAAGUGUCUAAUCUUUUUCAUUUUCCCUCUCAUCCUCGUUUUUCACUUCCCUCUCAUUCCAUUUCGUUUCUCAACCCUCCAAAAAAACCUAAACCCAAGCUAAACCCAAAAUCUUAGACCCUAAACUUAAAACACAACCCUAAAACUCAAGCAUUUUCUUAUUCUAAGUAUAAAUCUUAAGUUUAAAUAUAUUCAAGUUUUAACCUUUUAAAAUUUUAAUUUCAAACAUUAAUCUAAGCCUCAAACCCUAAAUUAUAUACUUAUAUAUAUCAUACCCUAAAUUAAUCACAUCCCCUAUACUCUAACUAAAAUUCAAUUUAGGGAUAUAUAAUUUUAACAAAAUGACUUGCUAGACUUAUUUUUAACCCCUAAUCCCUAAAUAUACUCUAACCCCUAAACCCUAAACAUAAUCCUAAAAUCUAAGUUUUAAACUUUUAAACUUUAUAUAAAAAUAAAGUUCGAUAUAAAUAUAGUAAUGCAACCCGAAUCCAUAUAUACUCUAACCCCUAAACCCUAAACAUAAUCCUAAGAUCUAAAUUUUAAACUUUUAAACUUUAUAUAAAAAUAAAGUUCGAUAUAAAUAUACUAAUGCAACCCGAAUCAAUCUAAUACCCUAAAUCUAAUACUCUAAACCCUAAGAUUCAAACUUAGAUGAUAUUCUAAAUACUAAAUAAAAUCUCUAAAUAAUUUUUUUUCCAGAUUUUAAAGCCAAAAUUCAAACUUAAACUUUAAAUCUAUGUAUAUUUCAAAACUAAAAUUAUACAAACUCUAAAUCUACUAAAUGCCAAACGUAAAUUCUCAUUAUAUAUAUCAUACCCCAAAUCAACUAUACACUUUUAUAUACCAUACCCUAAAUUAAUCACAUCCCCUAAACUCUAACUAAAAGUCUUCAAAUUAUAAAUUUUUAUUAGUUUAAAUUUUUUAAUUUUAAUUCAAAUCUCAAUUCUAAUACUCUAACCCUAAACUCUAAAUGUAUACCAUAGCACAAAUCAUAU